This 77-nucleotide microRNA precursor is filed under the name Bombyx mori (domestic silkworm). Its description in RNAcentral is "mir-2774 microRNA precursor family". It matches the Rfam family "mir-2774 microRNA precursor family". Lineage: Eukaryota; Metazoa; Arthropoda; Insecta; Lepidoptera; Bombycidae. The record is from Rfam by way of RNAcentral.
AUAACAUUCGGACCGUCGCGUCGCGUCGGUCCACCGAACGAUUUUCCCCGCUCGGUGGAAGACCUUCCUUUUGUUGU